Molecule: transfer RNA, 62 nt
Filed under: Enterococcus faecalis EnGen0060
Lineage: Bacteria; Bacillati; Bacillota; Bacilli; Lactobacillales; Enterococcaceae
Description: tRNA-Ile
Rfam family: tRNA
About the family: Transfer RNA (tRNA) molecules are approximately 80 nucleotides in length. Their secondary structure includes four short double-helical elements and three loops (D, anti-codon, and T loops).
Source: RNAcentral
GGGCCUAUAGCUCAGCUGGUUAGAGCGCACGCCUGAUAAGCGUGAGGUCGAUGGUGGGCCUA